CAGUUUGGAACAAUCGAAGCC
RNAcentral lists this microRNA (21 nucleotides) under Haemonchus contortus (barber pole worm). RNAcentral's name for it is "hco-miR-5898-3p". The record is from miRBase by way of RNAcentral. Lineage: Eukaryota; Metazoa; Nematoda; Chromadorea; Rhabditida; Trichostrongylidae.